CAGCAGCCACGGUAAUACGAAGGGGGCUAGCGUUGUUCGGAUUUACUGGGCGUAAAGCGCACGUAGGCGGAUCGAUCAGUCAGGGGUGAAAUCCUGGAGCUCAACUCCAGAACUGCCUUUGAUACUGUCGAUCUCGAGUCCGGAAGAGGUGAGUGGAACUCCUAGUGUAGAGGUGGAAUUCGUAGAUAUUAGGAAGAACACCAGUGGCGAAGGCGGCUCACUGGUCCGGUACUGACGCUGAGGUGCGAAAGCGUGGGGAGCAAACAGGAUUAGAUACCCCCGUAGUCCCUGUCUCUUAUAA
RNAcentral lists this ribosomal RNA (301 nucleotides) under uncultured bacterium. RNAcentral's name for it is "partial 16S ribosomal RNA". It matches the Rfam family "Bacterial small subunit ribosomal RNA", at positions 509 to 809 of the family's 1533-position model. The record is from RNAcentral.